AACUUACCGAAAGGUGAGCUAAUGCCGGAUGAGUUAUAUAAGUGCAUGUUUAUAUAGGAAAAGUUGGGGAGACCUGACGCUGAAAGAUGGACUCGCGUCCCAUUAGCUAGUUGGUAGGGUAAUGGCCUACCAAGGCGACGAUGGGUAGCCGGCCUGAGAGGGUGGCCGGCCACACUGGGACUGAGACACGGCCCAGACUCCUACGGGAGGCAGCAGUGGGGAAUUUUGCGCAAUGCUCGUAAGAGUGACGCAGCGACGCCGCGUGAAUGACGAAGGCCUUCGGGUCGUAAAGUUCUUUCGACAGGGAAGAAAAUGCCUAUAAGUAACUGUGUAUGUAUUGACGGUACCUGUAUAAGCAGCCCCGGCUAACUCCGUGCCAGCAGCCGCGGUAAUACGGAGGGGGCGAGCGUUGUUCGGAGUGACUGGGCGUAAAGAGCACGUAGGCGGUGUUGUAAGUCAUUAGUCAAAGACUAGAGCUCAACUUUAGUAAGGCUAGUGAUACUAUAAUACUAGAGUAUCAGAGAGGAUUGCAGAAUUCCUGGUGUAGCGGUGAAAUGCGUAGAUAUCAGGAGGAAUACCGUUAGCGAAGGCGGCAAUCUGGCUGGAAACUGACGCUGAGGUGCGAAAGCGUGGGUAGCAAACAGGAUUAGAUACCCUGGUAGUCCACGCUGUAAACGAUGGAUGCUAGGUGUCGGUGAAAUGCGUAGAUAUCAGGAGGAAUACCGUUAGCGAAGGCGGCAAUCUGGCUGGAAACUGACGCUGAGGUGCGAAAGCGUGGGUAGCAAACAGGAUUAGAUACCCUGGUAGUCCACGCUGUAAACGAUGGAUGCUAGGUGU
Molecule: ribosomal RNA, 837 nt
Filed under: uncultured bacterium
Lineage: Bacteria
Description: bacterial SSU rRNA
Rfam family: Bacterial small subunit ribosomal RNA (bases 1-727)
Source: RNAcentral